UCAAUUUCAAUUUUUAUA
RNAcentral lists this microRNA (18 nucleotides) under Corchorus olitorius. Its description in RNAcentral is "cin-miR-4188-". Lineage: Eukaryota; Viridiplantae; Streptophyta; Magnoliopsida; Malvales; Malvaceae. The record is from RNAcentral.